Molecule: long non-coding RNA, 8859 nt
Organism: Oncorhynchus keta (chum salmon)
Lineage: Eukaryota; Metazoa; Chordata; Actinopteri; Salmoniformes; Salmonidae
Exons: 5
Source: RefSeq, a predicted model, not a curated record
CCCCUGGAGGGUUGUACUGUCACACCCUGAUCUGUUUCACCUGUCUUUGUGAUUGCCUUCACCUCCUCCAGGUGUCGCCAAUCUUCCCCAUUAUCCCCUGUGUAUUUAUACCUGUGUUCUCUGUUUGUCUGUUGCCAGUUCGUCUUGUUUGUCAAUGUCAACCCCUCCCUACUUUCAGACUAUGCUCAAACCCUACACCCCAACCCGACCGAGUACACCGUUCUGCCACCUCAGGUCUCUUGGCGCUCCUACCCCUAUGGGAGUGCAGUUCCCGCUCAGCCCAGUCAAAGCUCUUCUCUGUUAUGGCACCCCAAUGGUGGAACCAGCUUCCCUCUGAUAAUAGGACAGCAGAAUCCCUGCCCAUCUUUACUAAACAUCUGAAACCCUACCUUUUCAAAUAGAAUCUUACAUUUUCCUCCUCCUCUCCUCGUGAUGUGGAUGCCAAGGAACGUAAAACUCGUCACUCUCUCAACUGUAAUCCCGUUGAUGUGGAUCUGGGAAUGUUCCCUCCUCUACUUCCUGAAGUGAACAAUCAACUCCUUUGUUUUUCUGAUGUUGUGGGAGAGGUUGUUGUUAUUACACCACAAUGCCAGUUUGCUUAAAUCCUCCUUAUAGGCUGAUUCAUCAUUGUUGGUUAUCAGGCCAACAACCGGGGUGUCGUCAGCAAAGUUGAUGAUGGAGUUGGUGUCCUGCAAAGCCAUACAGUCAUUAGUGAACUGGGAGUACAGCAGAUGGCUGAGGACACACCUCUGGGGGGGCCUGUGUUAGAAGAGCUCAGUGUGGAAGAGGUGUUGUUGCCAAUCCUCACAGCCUGAGGCUGGUCAUCAGGAAGUCCAAGAUUCAGUUGCAGAGGGUGGUGUCCAAACCCAGGGCUCUAAGCUUGGUGUAGAGCUUGGAGGAAACAAUAGUGUUGACUGCAGAAUUGUUGUCAAUAAACAGCAUUCUAACAUAGGUGUUUCUCUUGUCUGUGUUCCAACCAUGUGAAUAGCGAUGGAAAUGGAAUCUUCCGUGGAUCUCCUGGAGUGGUAGGCAAAUUAGAGUUGGGGGGCGGGUGCGUACCUGUGUGUCAGCCAGAUUAGUCUGCCAGCCACCUGUGUGUCUGGUGUUUUGUUAAACUCUAUUUUAUUGGAGGUAGUGUAAAAUGGUGCCAGAAGAAAUGUCAGCAGUUGUACGGGCGCCCAACCAAUUGUGCUAUUAUGUGUUUUUUUCACAUUAUUUGUAACUUAUUUUGAACAUAAUGUUGCUGCCACCAUAUCUUAUGGCAAAACAAUAGCUUCUGGAUAUCAGGACAGCGAUCACUCACCUCGGAAUAGACAAAGAUUUUUUUCUUCAACAAGCAGGACCCAUAGGACAUACUCCGAUCACCCUACAAGGCCAACAUCCCAGUUAUUGGCAAGUGGAAGAGACGCAGGUACAAAGGCCACCGAGUGGGGUGCCUCGUAAAGAUCCGCAGAAGGUGAGUGGGAAAGCUGCCGUUACCGCUAAUUUUACUCGCAAACAUGCAAACAUUGGACAAUAAAUUAGACGAGGUACGAUCACGAAUAUCCCACCAACGGACAUCAAAAACUGUAACAUCUUAUGUUUCACAGAAUCGUGGCUAAAUGAUGACAUGGAUAUUCAGCUAGCAGGAUAUACGCUGCACUGGCUAGAUAGAACAGCACACUCCGGUAAGACAAGGGGGGGAGGGUCUGUGCAUAUUUGUAAACAACAGCUGGUGCACGAAAUCUAAGUAAGUCUCAAGAUUUUGCUCACCUGAAGUAGAGUAUCUUAUGAUAAAUUGACCACACUAUUUGCCAAGAGAGUUUUCAGAGAGUUUUCAUCUAUACUUUAUUUACCACCACAGGCGGAUGCUGGCACUAAGAGCGCACUCUGUCAGCUGUAUAAGGAAAUAAGCAAAUAGGAAACCUCUCACCCAGAGGCGGCGCUCAUAGUGGCCGGAGACUUUAAUGCAGGGAAAUUGAAAUCAGUUAUACCUAAUUUCUAUCAACAUGUUAAAUGUGCAACCAGAGGAGAAAAUAAUUCUAGAUUAUUCCGCGUACACACGUACAAAGCCCUCCCUUGCCCUCCAUUUGGUAAAUCUGACCACAAUUCUAUCCUCCUGAUUCCUGCUUACAAGCGAAAAUGAAAGCAGGAAGCACCAGUUACUCAGUCUAUAAAAAAGUGGUCAGAUGAGGCAGAUGCUAAACUACAGGACUGUGUUGCUGUAGUACACCACAUCAGUCACUGGCUUUAUCAAUAAGUGCAUCGAGGACGUCGUCCCCACAGUGACUGUACGUACAUACCCCAACAGGAAGCCAUGGAUUACAGGCAACAUUGACACUGAGCUAAAUGGUAGAGCUGCAGCUUUCAAGGUGUGGGACUCUAACCCGGAAGCUUAUAACAAAUCCUGCUAGGUGGGGCGGCAGGGUAGCCUAGUGGUUAGAGCAUUGGGCUAGUAACCGGAAGGUUGCAACUUCAAAUCCCCGAGCUGACAAGGUACAAUUAUGUCGUUCUGCCCCUGAACAGGCAGUUAACCCACUGUUCCUAGGCCGUCAUUGAAAAUAAGAAUUUGUUCUUAACUGACUUGCCUAGUUAAAUAAAGGUAAAAUACAUUUUAAAAAAGAUCUCCGACAAACCAUCAAACAAGCAAAGCGUCAAUAAAGGGCUAAGAUUGAAUCGUAAAACACCUGCUCCGAAGCUCGUUUUAUGUGGCAGGUCUUUCAAACUAUUACAAACUACAAAGGGAAGCACAGCCGCGAGCUGCCCAGUGACACGAGCCUACCAGACGCGCUAAAUAACUUCUAUUCUCGCUUCUAAGCAAACAACACUGAGGUAUGCAUAAGGCAUGCAAAAGAGCAUCAGAAGUUCUGGACAACUGUGUGAUCACACUCUUCAUAGCCAACGUGAGUAAGACCUUUAAACAGGUCAACAUUCACAAGGCUGCGGGGCCAGACGGAUUAACAGUCGUGUGCUCCUGGCAUGUGCUGACCAACUGGCAGGUGUUUCAAGCAGACCACCAUAGUCCCUAUGCCCAAGAACACUAAGGCAACCGGCCUAAAUGAAUACAGACCCGUAACACUCACGUUCCUAGCCAUGAAGGGCUUUGAAAGGCUGGUCAUGGCUCACAACACCAUUAUCUCAGAAACCCCAGACCUACUCCAAUUUGCAGACUGCCCAAACAGAUUCACAGAUGAUGCAAUCUCUAUUGCACGCCACACUGCCCUUUCCCACCUGGACAAAAGGAACACCUACAUGAGAAUGCUAUUCGUUGACUACAGCUCAGCGUUCAUCACCAUAGUACCCUCAAAGCUCAUCAAUAAGCUAAGGAUCCUGGGACUGAACACCUCCCUCUGCAACUGGAUCCUGUACUUCCUGACGGGCCGCACCCAGGUGGUGAGGGUAGGUUGCAACACAUCUGCAACACUGAUCCUCAACACUGGAGGCCCUCAGGGGUGCGUGCUCAGUCCCCUCCUGUACUCCCUGUUCACCCAAGACUGUGUGGCCCGGCACGACUCCAACACCAUCAUUAAGUUUGAAGACGACACAACAGUGCUAGGCUUGAUCACCGACAACGACUAGACAGCCUAUAGAGAGGAGGUCAGAGACCUGGCUGGGUGGUGCCAGAAUAACAACCUAUCCCUCAACAUAACCAAGACUAAGGAGAUGAUUGUGGAUUACAGGAAAAGGAGGACAGAGCACGCCCCCAUUCUCAUCGACGGGGCUGUAGUGGAGCAGGUUGAGAGCAUCACCAACAAAUUAGAAUGGUCCAAACACACCAAGACAGUCAUGAAGAGGGCACGACAAAGUCUAUUCCCCCUCAAGAAACUAAAAAGAUUUGGCAUGGGUCCUCAGAUCCUCAAAAUGUUCUACAGCUGCAACAUCGAGAGCAUCCUGACUGGUUGCAUCACUGUUCGGCCUCAAAGGGUAGUGCGUAUGGCCCAGUACAUCACUGGGGCAAAGCUGGCUGCCAUCCAGGACCUCUACACCAGGCGGUGUCAGAGGAAGGCCCUAAAAAUUGCCAAAGACCCCAGCCACCCCAGUCAUAGACUGUUCACAUGGCAAGCGGUACUGGAGCACCAAGUCUCGGACCAAAAGGCUUCUCAACAGUUUUUACCCCCAAGCCAUAAGACUCCUGAAGAGUUAAUCAAAUGGCUACCCAGACUAUUUACAUGAUGUUCCCCCCCAACCCCCCCAACCCCUCUUUUACUCUGCUGCUACUCUCUGUUUAUCAUAUAUGCAUAGUCACUAGCUCUACAUUCAUGUACAUACUACCUCAAUUAGCUCGACUAACCGGUGAACCCGCACAUUGGCAACCCGGACUAUCUGCAUUGUGUUACACCACCCACCAACCCCUCUUUUACGCCACUGCUACUCUCUGUUUAUCAUAUAUGCAUAGUCACUUUAAGCAUACCUACAUGUACAUACUACCUCAAUUAGACCCAACUAACCGGUGCCUGUGUAUAGCCUCACUACUGUUGUAGCCUCGCUACUGUUGUAGCCUCGCUACUGUACAUAGCCUCGCUACUGUUAUUUUUCACCUCAUUUUUUACUGUUGUUUUUAUUUCUUAUCUAUUGUUCACCUAAUACCUUUAUUUUACUUAAAAAUUUCACUGUUGGUUAUAGCUUGUAAAUAAGCAUUUCACUCUAUGUUCUACACCCGUUGUAUUUGGCGCACGUGACAAAUAAACUUUGAUUUGAAUUGAUAAUCCACAACAGUAUUUGUAAUAGACAGUCUACAGAGCAUAACAUUCUACGCUGAGCUAUUCUUCUCACAUCCCUUCUGCUAUAGAAAGGACAGUGUGUCUCUGGGUAUUUAGCAGUCAGCAUGUCAAACCUCUCAAGCUUCAAACUGAUCUCAUCCCAAAUUGAGGCAAAAAUUGCCAUUUAACAUAUUAAUGGCGGCUGAGGACAAACCUGGUGCAAUCUACUGGCGGUCACCUCUGCUAAGAAGAGUAGAUCCUCCUGGAUCUUCAUAGGAAUACUUCUUCAAGGCAUCUUUGCUGAGAGGGCGUUACCAUCACACUGAUGCACAAUGAUGUCAUCAAGCAGUAGCCUGAGGACUUCUUGGAUCUCGAGAGGGCUUACAGCAACUUCGCCACAGACUUCAUCACCCAGUCUGCCAGGAAGAAACAACACUUCUUCCUCUACUACCCCUCCCAUCACACCCACUACCCCCAUUAUGCAGGCCUAGCAGCGGCAGGGUGGUCUCAUAGGGGUCCUUUUGGUGAUGCUCUACUGGAGUUUGACUCUACAUUAGGGAACCUGCUGUCAGCUCUGGAACAGACUGGAGUCCUCACCAACACUCAUACUGUUCACUGCUGAUAACGGGAGUCACCUAUGAGACAUUAUUCACACUCAAGAGUUUAGCUCAAUGCCGUUUGGGCUGAAGAAGAGAAGAUGAGUACAUUGCAUAAUGUGUUCUUAAACCAGGCAUAGUCAUUGUGUGUCUCUGUUCGACUUAAUUGGUGGCUCGUGGCAAUAAUUUUUGUUGUUGUUUUCCUCAAUCAGCUGAAUGCGCCGCUUAGUUUAUAGAACUGUGGUUAUGUGAGUAACCUUAUUAGCGGCUUGGACAAACAGAGCGGUAAAAGCAGUUUCUAGCGCUUCUUGAAAUAGUUUUCUUCCUACAAAUUUGGUUAUAGAUUUUGAAUGGUUGGAGCUAUUACCUGUUUCCACCUACAACACAAGCUGUGUAGGACUCAUUAGAAGGGAGAGAGUGAUGAAUCUGAACAGAAUAACUACAAACGAUCAUACUUACAAGAUUGUUUGAUGAUUAUCUGUGAUGUUUUCCUAAACUUUCCAAUAUCUUCCUGAGGGAGGACAUGAUGUUCUACCCUACAGACCCCAGUGAGAAGUAUAGCCUGUUCGCUCUCAGGCUGGGCAAAUACAGAGCCCACUUCUACACGUGGCCACAGUGAGACCACCCCAGACCAGGACUGUCACAUCUCCUUCCUGAAGCCCCAUGAUCCUCCCUUGCUGUUUGACCUGGUCUGACCCCAGUGAGAACUACCCCCUGUCCCUCCUGGGACACCCUGACUUGCAGGCCCUGCUGCAGAGGAUAGGGAUGGUCAAGGACCAGUUCGAAGCCUCCACAGAGCUUGUGGAGAGCCAGAUCGGGAAAAUCUAGAGCCCUGCCGCUCCCUGCACUGCAUCCCCAAACCUUUCUGCUGACAGUGUGGCUGAUGCACCCUCAAACCUACAGCGCUACUUGUACUAUACCUUUUGUAAGACUAGUUCUAGUACCUCUACUACUGUGGAUGAAGUAGCCCCAAAAUGAAUCUCUGAAAUUGUGGACAGACUGUUCUUUAAGCCAUUUGAGAAACUACUGUAUGUGGGAAGGAGCACUUAGAAAUGGUACAUCCAGUUCCACAAGUGUCUUAUCUACACAUUCUAAUUCUAUGGAUGAUGGCACCAUCAUGUGGACAAACCCUGCAAUUCAGUGACAACAACACCUAAAGACUACUGUAUUGGCUAGUUUCAAGAAAUACAGACCAAAAAUACAUUGUGUGUAUUCUUUUUAAAUACAGGAUUGUAUUAAUACACUUUUAUAGUGAGGGCGAAUGUAACCUCUUACACCCAGAGAGGAGUGGUAGCCAAAUUUAAACCUCUCUCUACUAACUAGACCCACAUGAAAAAUACUACAGUUUACUAUAGAAUACUGCAGUACUUACUAUAUAAUUCUAUAGUAAACGAUAGUAUACUGUAGGAUACUAUACUACACACUAUAGUAUCUCUCAAUCUUGUGUAGUACUUACUAUAGAAUGUUGUAGAAUAUUAUAGUAAAUACUGCAGUAUUUACAUUCCCCUCCCCCAUAAGUGAGAAACCUACAUGCCAAGUAAAGACCAUAUAUUGUGAUCCCUACAGGUUAUAUAAGAGAGCACAACCUCCACUUAUAUCUCAAAGAUGAUAAAACAAAAACACUAUUAUAAGUACUACACUAAUGUCUGCAAAAACACUACAGUAAAUACUAUAGUAUUGUACAAUUCACAAAAACACUAUAGUAAACACUAUAGUAUAGUAGUCUGCAAAAACAGUACAGUAAAUAAUGCAGUAAAGUACAGUCCGCAAAAACACUACAUGAAUUACUAUAGUAUAUACUACAGUUAUUUUACUACAGUAUUUAAUACUGAAGUUAACUGUCAAUACUACAGUAUACUAAAGGAAAUACUACAGUAUUCACUAAAGUCCACAAAACACUGCAGUGAAUACUACAGUAAAGUCUGUGAAAACACUACAGUGAAUACUAGUAUUAAUGCUAUUUAACUAUACUAUAUUACUUUUUCAUGAGGAACAACUUCAUGUAAACAAAUUGUACAGUCAGAGAGUGAAUGGAAAAUCUAAGGAAAUUGAUUUUUCAGAAUUCCGCAGCAGCUCGUAAGGUGUGCUGCAGUAUGAAGCUAAUUUUACAGGAAGAACCACUGUAUGUUAUUGUGUGUUUGUAUGCAUGUGUCUGUGCCUCUGUCUGUGUUGCUUCACAGUCCCCACGGUUCCAUAAGGUGUAUUUCUAUCUGUUUUAUAAAUCAAAUUUUACUGCUUGCAUGAGUUACUUGAUGUGGAAUAGAGUUCCAUGUAGUUAUGGCUCUAUGUAGUACUGUGCGCCUCCCUUAGUCUGUUCUGGACUUGGGGACGGUGAAGAGACCUCUGGUGGCAUGUCUUGUGGGGUAUGCAUGGGUGUCCGGGCUGUGUGCCAGUAGUUCAAACAGACAGCUCGGUGCUAGGGUCAGUCUGUUAUAUCUGGAGUAUUUCUCCUGUCUUAUCCGGUGUCCUGUGUGAAUUUAAGUGUGCUCUCUCUAAUUCUCUCUUUUUAUUUUUCUCUCGCUCUCUCUUUCUUUCUCUCGGAGGACCUGAGCCCUAAGACCAUGCCUCAAGACUACCUGGCCUGAUGACUCCUUGCUGUCCCCAGUCCAUCUGUUCGUGCUGCUGCUCCUGUUUCAACUGUUCUGCCUGCAGCUAUGGAACCCUGACCCGUUCACCUGAAGUGCUACCUUGUCCCAGGCCUGCUGUUUUCAACUCUCCAGAGACAGCAAGAGCGGUAGAGAUACUCUGAAUGAUCGGCUAUGAAAAGCCAACUGACAUUUACUCCUUGAGAUGCUGACCUAUCGCACCCUCUACAAUCACUGUGAUUAUUAUUAUUUGACCCUGCUGGUCAUUUAUGAACAUUUGGACAUCUUGGCCAUGUUCUGUUAUAAUCUCCACCCGGCACAGCCAGUAGAGGGCUGGCCACCCCUCAUAGACUGGAUCCCCUCUAGGUUUCUUCCUAUGUUCCAGCCACACCUCCACCUUUGGCAUUCCUGUCUUUUCUGUAGAUAUUAUAAACAUGGAUUGCUACCAAUGUAUCAUCAAAGGUACUAAGUGAGUUUCAGAGAUUGUCAGAAUAUGAAUGUCAUCUGUUACUAGCAAAUUAUUGAUUUCAUGAACCUUGUUUCUUAAGCUACAUAUGCUAAUGUGGGCUAUUUUUAACACUUUUCUGGGAUGCUUGUAUGUUUUUAUUGCUUUACUGGGAAGCUUAGCAGAGGUAGACAUGCUCAGGUUGUUUAUGUUAGUGCAGGAUGAGCUGCAAUGGACUUCUUUCUUGGGCACACCACCUCAGUGCUAACAGCAUAACUCUGGUUCAUAGUCAUAUGAUUACUGCACACAAUAGCUGUGGGAUCAGCAGAGGCAUUCAGGGCAGUAAGAGGGACAUAAAUUAGGUUACUUACAUUGUGUCUUCCAACACACCUGGGAUAAUGUACAUUUGCUGAAGUAUUAUGACAACUCAGCGACACAAUGGUAGGGAUUAAAUGAGCUGGGAUUGGGUCAUUGAUAAGUCAUUGUCUCAACGCAGCCUUAUAAUGUUGUGAAUGGAUCCAGGAACCCAAAUAACUGUCAAUAAAUGUUACACC